AUCCAGCUGACGAGGCUCAAAUAGGAUGAAACGCACGUCCUAGAU
Non-coding RNA from Schistosoma mattheei, 45 nucleotides. The record is from Rfam. NCBI's taxonomy places the organism in Eukaryota, Metazoa, Platyhelminthes, Trematoda, Strigeidida, Schistosomatidae.